This 253-nucleotide ribosomal RNA is filed under the name uncultured bacterium. RNAcentral describes it as "partial 16S ribosomal RNA". It matches the Rfam family "Bacterial small subunit ribosomal RNA", at positions 524 to 776 of the family's 1533-position model. The record is from RNAcentral.
UACGAAGGGGGCUAGCGUUGCUCGGAAUUACUGGGCGUAAAGGGCGCGUAGGCGGAUAUCUAAGUCGGGGGUGAAAGCCCGGGGCUCAACCUCGGAAUUGCCUUCGAUACUGGAUAUCUUGAGUUCGGGAGAGGUGAGUGGAAUGCCGAGUGUAGAGGUGAAAUUCGUAGAUAUUCGGCGGAACACCAGUGGCGAAGGCGACUCACUGGCCCGAUACUGACGCUGAUGCGCGAAAGCGUGGGGAGCAAACAGG